CGUUAAUAAAUUUGGUUUCAUUCUUCACUCACAAGAAAGGAGAAGGAAAAGAUUUCUUUGUGCCCUAGGCCCUGUCACUAAGACCCUUCCCAGCGUAGAGAACAGGCUUAGUUGCCCAGAGCACCUUCGGUCCCUCAGCUGAGCCACCAGGGUCUUCAACAUUGCAGGAAUUCCCAUGGUGGCCAGCAGAGAGAGCUCGAGCACCACAGACCCGGAGGGGCGGGUUCCUCUGCCGAGGCAGUGAUGGCCAGCAGAGGCGCACCAUCGGCUUUUCUGACCCAGGGCACUUCAGAGCAGGAAGGGCUUCUAUUUAUUCCAGAGAGCCCAGCGCCUCUGCUGCUGCCUCAGGACAGAGAGCAGAGCUGCCUUUCCAGCGCGUUCUGCCGCCCACCCCAGGGGAGACCUUGGGAGCUUUGCAGCAACUUGGCAUCUCCUGAGUCCCAGAGAGUAUCUGCCUUGUUGUACUAAGUGCUGAGGAGGGGACGCUGGGUGGCUUCCCUGGUCAAGCUGGUUGCUGAGCUGCACAGGCACUUGCAUUUUCUGGGCUGUUCCCGUGUUUCAUUCCUCUCCUUCCCAGACAGUAUUUGAACAAGACGGAUUUUACUAAAGAACUCGUGGAUUGCGGGGUCCCACGACAUCACCUCAUAGAUGCAGUCGAUGGUUUGUUCCAGAUUCAGGCUUGUUUCCGGGAAGAAACCCUGAAAGAAGUUCAGAAGAACGGGAGCUGCAUUCAAUUAGGACGUGGAUACAUGAAAUGCUCGUCUCACGACCUUCUAGAAGAAUGAGCUGGGACCCAGUUUCUGAGUCCUGCUGGAACCAGAGACCGAGAUAUUGCCCAGGUGUCUGAAAGCCUGCAUUGUGCUGAGCCUUAAGAGAGAAGUUUUGAGUUCAGUUUUGAGAGUAGACAGCCAGUC
Leopardus geoffroyi (Geoffroy's cat) is the source of this 914-nucleotide long non-coding RNA. RefSeq lists it as uncharacterized. The record is from RefSeq and is a predicted model, not a curated record. The transcript is spliced from 2 exons. Lineage: Eukaryota; Metazoa; Chordata; Mammalia; Carnivora; Felidae.